UGGAGACUGAUUUUACAGGAAUGUGGAGCUGACCUAUAUCAAAGCAUUUUGCUGAACAUUUCAGCGGACGAUGUAUACUUUUCAAGGCAGAAAGUUUCAUAGAAAAUUAGAGCUGGAGAUUUUAUCAAUCACGACGUUUCUCACAGAGUAGAUGAUUCUUCUGUUAGCAUUGGAUUUAGGUACGCAAGAAUGGGCGAGAUUGCAAUUCAAUUUGGAAUUACUAUAGACGUCGAUGCUGUCAAGACUCCCUACAGUGCUUCUUAAAGAUAAAGAGAUUCGAUGAAAUAAGUUGAAUGAACGUAAGUAUUGGAAUGGCCAGUAGAAAUAAAAAUUUGCAGUUUCUCUACCUCAUAUCGGAAGCACUGAAAUUAAGUGUACCUAUGUGUUUAGCUAAUUGAGCUAGUUAAGCUAGUCAUGAAAUUUGGAGGGACUAAAAGAAUACCCAUUUUUGAUUGGGUGUAGAGUCGGAUCUGUUAAGAAUAAAUAAAUUUUUGCAAUAUAUCAUUUUUUGCUUAACAAUAGUUUUAGAUGUGAUGUUUUUUAAUUUUGAUUAGAUCAUGAGAAUGACAAUAAUAAAUCUAAAAAAUUAGACAUUUUUUAGAAUCUUUAUUAUAUUUGUAAAUUAAUUUUUUUCAAUUAAGGUUUUUUUUCAAUAAGGGAUUUUCAAAAUUUUUUUGGGAAGAAAAUUAUGAACGUGAAAUGAGAAAUAAAUCGGAUAAUAUUUAGAGUUCGCUCAUCGCAAAUUAUACGUAAUAUAAAUGAUGCGGCUCAUUCAAAUGAUUAUUUUUGGUUCAUAAGUUUUUUUUUCAAUUAUGCAUACUUAAAAAGAUAUGCGAAGCAAAUUGUUAUAAAAAAGCAUUAUUCGUUUUUUCUGCCUGCUGAAGUGUCUUUAAAACACAUUUAAAUUAUUUAUUUAUGUUCUUACAAAAAUAAGUCAUAUAAAACAAUUUUUCACAAAUAAUAAUUUUAUAUGUUUCUACGAAUUAUUUUUAAGAACAUAAAAAUAUGUAAGCAUGGAUUUUUCUGUGAAAACAGAAAAAUUCGCGAUCUAUAAAUAUCCGAUUUAUGUCUGCUCCCUCGUGGUUCAUCUUUAACCCAAAAGAAAUAACAAAUUCAAAACAUUAUAGUUCAGAUUCGAUUAAAUUUUUUUUAAUGCCCCUAAUUUCCAUACCAAAAUUUGUAUGUAACAAUUCUGGGAAACUUAUCAUUUUUCGUGUAUAGGUAACUUUUUUGUUAUAUUAGGAACAUCGAAACAUAAUAGGUAGCAAAUUUUUUUCAUUUUGACAACAUGAAUCAUUUGAUGUAUUUAAAAACACUCUAUGGUCAAAUGAAGUAAUUUAUAUGUAAAUAUUUGUAAAUUUCCCUAAAUUUUGUUAAGAGAACAAUUUUCUUUCUUUUGAGAAUAUAGCAAUAUUGUAUUAAAUUUAUUCGUUACAAGAGAAAUUAAUAAUUGUAUUUAGUAGGCCUGUAUAAAUAACUAUAAUUCGGAUAUAAUAUAUAUAAGUAUUUGUCGAUUUGUGUAACGUUUAAAUGAUAAAAAAACUUUCCUUUUUGGGAAUUCAUCAAUAUUUUGAAUAUAAAACUUAUUCCAUUUGAUGAAACGAAUCUAUUGAACUACAUAAAAAAACUUCUGUGACCUAUAAACUAAAAACAAUACCUAAUAAUAGGGAAUAAUAAUUAACUUACAAUAAACAAACAAGCGCAGGCGAAA
Long non-coding RNA from Belonocnema kinseyi, 1711 nucleotides. RefSeq lists it as uncharacterized. The transcript has 2 exons. NCBI's taxonomy places the organism in Eukaryota, Metazoa, Arthropoda, Insecta, Hymenoptera, Cynipidae. The record is from RefSeq and is a predicted model, not a curated record.